RNAcentral lists this ribosomal RNA (468 nucleotides) under uncultured bacterium. RNAcentral's name for it is "partial 16S ribosomal RNA". It matches the Rfam family "Bacterial small subunit ribosomal RNA", at positions 28 to 507 of the family's 1533-position model. The record is from RNAcentral.
GACGAACGCUGGCGGCGUGCUUAACACAUGCAAGUCGAACGGAAAGGCCCUGCUUUUGUGGGGUUCUCGAGUGGCGAACGGGUGUGUAACACGUGAGUAACCUGCCCUUGACUUUGGGAUAACUUCAGGAAACUGGGGCUAAUACCGGAUAGAAGCUCCUGCUGCAUGGUGUUGGUUGGAAAGUUUCGGCGGUGGGGGAUGUACUCGCGGCUUAUCAGCUUGUUUGUGGGGUAGUGGCUUACCAAGGCUUUGACGGGUAGCCGGCCUGAGAGGGUGAACGGCCACAAUGGGACUGAGAUACGGCCCAGACUCCUACCGGAGGCAGCAGUGGGGAAUAUUGCACAAUGGGCGGAAGCCUGAUGCAGCAACGCCGCGUGCGGGAUGACGGCCUUCAGGUUGUAAACCGCUUUCGACUGUGACGAAGCGUGCGUGACGGUAAUGGGUAAAGAAGCCCCGGCUAACUACGUG